GCCUCUCGCCCGGCACGGCCAAAGGUGCCGCCCCGGUCUCUCCGUCCCGCCCCGAGCACGCCCCUCACUCCGCACCGGCCAAUGGCACCGCCCCGUCCGCCCCGCUCUGGGAACGCCGCUCCAGCAGAUGUGACAUAGACUGGAAGUGAUGGACCCAGACAACAAUCAGAACCAAAGCACCAGAUGAGCCACCUCAGCCACGUGAGCCAUGCCAGCCACCCUACCUGUGACCCCAUCUGUGGCCCCAGUUAUCAUGGAGUAGAGCCCUUUCUCUGUCUACAAAACCAACUUCCUCGCCCAGCUCAUGGGAACACUUAUUCUGUUGUAUAGAAUGAAGUGUUGCUUGAUUCUAGAAUCCUUUGUCCCAGGAAUGGGGUCUGUAAUUCAGGGACCUGUAGAAGUUCACAGUGUGAGAGGAAUGAAGUGUCCAAUCUGCAAUCUGAAUCUUCCCUAUGAAAUUUCCACCUGGUGCCCUCCAGCGCAGAUUCUCGCACCCACAGUCCUGCCUUACAGGGCAGACCAUUUCCUCUCUGACAGUACUACCUGUCUGAAUGUUCUGCUUCAAACUGAGUCAAGAUAUGUGAACCCUGGGUAGAAGAAUUAUCAGGUCUGGAGGGAGCACAAGCAAACUAUCCCAUUUUAUGGACGUGGAAACCGAGGCCUGAGGGAGAGACGCACCAGGAAUCAGGAGAUCUGGCUCUGAUCAGCUGUACAAAUUGAGAAUUGUGACCUGACCUUGUCCAACCCAAGUGGCCCAACUCCUAAUUCUGUGAGUGACAUGUCUCUGUUACUUUGGAAUAUUGAUUGAAGAUGCCAUUAAGAACAUUCAUGAUUCAUGAGAGGAGAUCAAAAUAUCAACAUAAACAGGAGUUUGAAAGAAGUUGAUUUCAACCCUUGUGGAUGACUAUGAGAGAUUCAAGGCUUCAGUGGAGAAUGCACCUACAGAUAUGGUGGAAACAGCAAAAGAAAUAGAAUCAGAAGUGGAGCCUGAAGAUUAAACUGAAUUGCUGCAAUCUCAUGAUAAAACUUGAACAGAUGAGGAGUUGCUUCUUACAGGUCUGUGGAUCAACACUGUCUCCCUGGCCUCUACCCAGCGCGCAGGACCCCUUAGCAGAGCAGGAGAACUCAGGAUCCAGCCAGCUGCCGGCACACUUUCGUCCUCCUCCGCACACGAGGAUCCCCAGGCCCAGCGGUGUUAGCCCAGAGAGGAGCGGCGUUUGGGAUGUGAUCCACAGCUGAUCCCUCGUGGCCCCUCCUCUCCCGAAUCCUGAAACAUGAGGAGGCCCUUCAGCUGCUGGCUCGGAGUCCGACUAUGGGAACUUUCUCCGGUCUACGGGGGCAGCAAGGGUCUCGCCUCAGGGACUUGGUUUAUUUAUCUAGCUGGACUCCAUCCCUUAAUAUCCUACUUACAGAGGAAGAGGCUUUAGCAGCUAAAUGCAGCCCCAUCCCCUCCUGUGGAGACUGUGAGCAGAAAAAGAACAGAUAUUUACAGAGGCCCGAGCCCCCCUUGUUGUUUUCUGCAAGGCUGUCGAGCUGGUGGAGCUUCAGGAUCCUGGUCAGGAACCCCGAACCCAGCGCUGGAGGCCCUGAAGAUCAGGGCACCCGACCCUCUUCCCAGCCGCCAAAGGCCUGUGUUGGUCUGAUUGUGGAUUCCAAGCUCUAAUUUCCAUCCAUCCUCCCAAUCCGAAUUCCCUUUGCAGACAUAAACACCAUCAGCAAUGUAGAGAAUGUGUUUCCUCAUCUUUGAAUAUUAACACUCAUCUGUUUAAUUGAGCUACUUUUUACAUACAUGUAAGAUGUGCUGCAAUUGCAAAAGAAACAUGUGCUUCGUGUUCUAUAAGCCAUAUCUUCCGCAAGACCUGCCAUCAAAUGAUUGCUCAAACAUUUGUUGAAUGGGAUGAGCAAUGGAGGUUCAGACAGGUGCCCUGACCUACCCAGGCUGGAGGGUAGGGAGCUAGAAAUUCAUACAACCAUGCCUUGUUCUACUUGUUUUGUGAAAGAAUCAUGUGACCAGUGACAAAGAGGCUGGGCAGCUGGGUCAGGCAGCAGGGACAGCGACUGAGCUGGGGGGACUACAGUGCUGUGCUCCUCUGCACCCGUGCUGGGAUGUCUGAGGCCAAGCUGACACUGGCCCCCCACAAUCCCUUGGGGCUGCUCCUCCUCAGGGAGUGGCUCUCCGGGUUUCCUGCUUGACUCCUGCUGCUCUUGUGUUGAAGGGCCGUCUCUGGGCAGCUCCCCCUGGCCCCUGGCCAGAGAGCCAGGCCCUGUCAGGCACGCACAUGGAGGAUGAGGGAGGUGCAGUUGUUUUCACAGGUGCAGACUCUAGAGGGACCCCACGUGGACUCUGUGGCUUCUGCCCCGACGCACUCGCGGGAGGACACAGCUCUGCCCGGAAGGGAGAGUGCUGAGCUGGGUCCCUGCUGCUCAUCUCUGUGGCA
This is a long non-coding RNA of Homo sapiens (human), 2438 nucleotides long. Ensembl annotates it as TMEM72 antisense RNA 1. Its record names the gene TMEM72-AS1. The record is from Ensembl. Lineage: Eukaryota; Metazoa; Chordata; Mammalia; Primates; Hominidae.